This is a long non-coding RNA of Oncorhynchus masou masou (cherry salmon), 2404 nucleotides long. RefSeq lists it as uncharacterized. The record is from RefSeq and is a predicted model, not a curated record. The transcript has 6 exons. NCBI's taxonomy places the organism in Eukaryota, Metazoa, Chordata, Actinopteri, Salmoniformes, Salmonidae.
AUGGCAGACAUUGGAUGAAUUUCAAAUAUCUUCAGCUGUGAGUGAUGAAGAAAAACAAAUCGGCCUCGGGGAAAAUUAUUUGAAUAGUUCAAUUGAUAUUUUACGCACAAAAGUGAAGACCAAAAUGUCUUAUUAGGAAUUUCCAAAUAUGCCUUCUCCAUGUGGCCUUGUAUGGAAAUGGUAUUUUUGGACCGGGCGUCAGAUAAACUGCAGUACCGAAGCAAAACUAUAGGACCGGAACCCUGGCCCCUUACCAUAGGAAUGCAAGACAGGGGAAAACAACAGCAAGCCGAAAAUGAUCCGCUGGAGUCCUGUUUUGCACCGGGGGGGAGAGCUGUGAUGGCAUCUGUUAUGCAGAUAAUGACAACAACAGUAGCUGUACAUGAUGUAAUGAAAAGUUGGAAGGUGGUUGGUAAUGGAGAACAUCAGGUGGAUCCACGUCUGGGUGUUGGGCAGAACCCCUAGCUCAUGGAGAACAGGAGCAGAGUUAAAGGGAACAGGGUAUAGCCUACCUCAAGCUGGCCCCCCUCAGACUCAGAUCACAGAGAAUCAGACUGAUCCAAACUCACUGGUUCUGGUGGAUGGGUUACCUCCUGGGGGGCUCGGACAGUCGAUGGUCCUAAAGUCAUUUGGAGAAGUAAAUUGAAGAGUGUAGGGCGUCAGUGCUUCCAGUGGUCGACCGUCCAACUGCUCCAACUGUAGAAGAUUGUUGACUUCCACCAAGAUGGUGUCCUCAGCUAGGAGAGAAAAAGCAGCGAGAUUUCCCAGGCCUCGCCUUCCUUUCGUCCUUCUUCCAAACCAUGAAUUCGCUUGGAUGUCGUAGCACUUGGUCCCCUUCUUGACUCUGCUCCGGGAUCUUCUAGCUUGGAUGGAAGAUUGGAGGAGGGAACAAAUGGGAGUACAGUAGUUCUCCAGCCUGCUGACUAAGAAAUGUAAAUAGUCUGUAUUUUGCUGUCUAUAUCUCUCCGAAUGUCAGCCUGACUGCCAGAUUGCUGAGGGGCAACAUAGUCAAUGUCCUUGCUAUGCUAAGUCUGACUUAGUGAAGACCUUAGGUAAUGGUUAAUCAUGAUUUGUUUCUUUCCUUACAGUUCUUGAAACAUGCCAAUGACCUCUAUAGCAAGUACUUGGCCAAGUUACCAGUGACCUAUUCCGCCACAUCACAGGGAAAGGAGAGAGCAGAACCACCCCUCCUUAAAUCCAUAGUCAUUGACUAAGUUUAGUGUGCAAAAGUGUAGUUUUUUUUCCGUUUGAUCCUCUUAUCUUCAAUGUGUAUUGAAUCCUAACCAGCUUUGUAAGAGCUAGGUUUGUACAGCUAUGCUGAUGAUCAUUAAUGUUUUUUCUCUGCAUCAGGUCUCACUGAGACUGGAUUCCUCAAGAUACGUGAUAUUCAGCUGCCCAUGAUUGCCUGAUCUUACACUCUUAGCCCCUUUCUUGCUAUCUAGAACCUAAAAAGGUUAAUCCGCUGUCCACUCUUUUUUGGUUCCAUGUAGAACCCUUUUGGGUCCGGGUAGAACUAUGGGGACAGCCGAAGAACCAUUUUGGAACCAUUUCUUCUAAGAGUGUAGUGUAACUUGAUCCAAUUGAAGCAGCACCACUUUAAAUAAUAUACGUUUGCAAAGCAAAUUAAAUCCUUUUUUAACUCGCCUUUCUUUUCAGGUUCAAACCCAUUCCACAGACACCUCCCUUGGUGAAUAAUGCGAAGUUUCUCCCAUUUCUCUCUUGCUCAUUCUCCAUGUCCCUCACUCAACCACAUGUGCAGUUGCAGAGAAGAGGAAGUGAUUUGAUAAAAACACAGUUUUCUAACAAUGUUUGUUGAAGGAAUGAUAUGACAGACAACUGUUAAAAAUAUGUCAUUUUAUUGUCUAUUUAUUGCCUCUUUACACAUACUUACAUUUUUGCUAUUACUUUUCUUUUAAGAAAAGAACCUCUGUCCGGGUCAAUCUCCUCAGGAUUAUGGAUGGUGCUGAUUAUAAAAAAUGUUGUUUGAAUAUUACCACAUUUACAGUGCCCUGCGAAAGUAUUCGGCCCCCUUGGAACUUUUGCCACAUUUCAGGCUUCAAACAUAAAUAUAUAAACUGUGUUUUUUUGUGAAGAAUCAACAACAAGUGGGACACAAUCAUGAAGUGGAACGACAUUUAUUGGAUAUUUCAAACUUUUUUAACAAAUCAAAAACUGAAAAAUUGGGCGUGCAAAAUUAUUCAGCCCCUUUACUUUCAGUGCAGCAAACUCUCUCCAGAAAUUCAGUGAGGAUCUCUGAAUGAUCCAAUGUUGACCUAAAUGACUAAUGAUGAUAAAUACAAUCCACCUGUGUGUAAUCAAGUCUCCGUAUAAAUGCACCUGCACUGUGAUAGUCUCAGAGGUCCGUUAAAAGCGCAGAGAGCAUCAUGAAGAACAAGGAACACAC